GAUGAAGAACGUAGCGAAAUGCGAUAAGUAAUGUGAAUUGCAGAAUUCAGUGAAUCAUCGAAUCUUUGAACGCACAUUGCGCCCCUUGGUAUUCCGAGGGGCAUGCCUAUUCGAGCGUCAUUAUCACCCCUCAAGCCUAGCUUGGUGUUGAGGCCUGCUGUCAAGGCAGCCUCUAAAAUCAGUGGCAGUGCUGUCAGGCUCUAAGCGUAGUAAAUCUAAUCGCUAUAGACACCUGGUGGACACUCGCCAGAACCCCCCCAUUUUUUAAUGAUUGACCUCGGAUCAGGUAGGAAUACCCGCUGAACUUAAGCAUAUCAAUAAGCGGAGGA
RNAcentral lists this unclassified non-coding RNA (329 nucleotides) under soil metagenome. RNAcentral describes it as "partial contains 5.8S ribosomal RNA, internal transcribed spacer 2, and large subunit ribosomal RNA". The stretch from base 1 to 120 matches the Rfam family "5.8S ribosomal RNA", at positions 35 to 154 of the family's 154-position model. The record is from RNAcentral.